RNAcentral lists this ribosomal RNA (233 nucleotides) under uncultured bacterium. RNAcentral describes it as "partial 16S ribosomal RNA". It matches the Rfam family "Bacterial small subunit ribosomal RNA", at positions 118 to 347 of the family's 1533-position model. The record is from RNAcentral.
UGAGCAAUCUGCCCUUCUCAUCGGAAUAAAGCGUUGGAAACGACGUCUAAUGCCGAAUACGACCUCCUUUCGCAUGAUCGGAGGUGGAAAGCUCCGGCGGAGAAGGAUGAGCUCGCGGCCUAUCAGCUAGUUGGUGUGGGUAAUGGCCCACCAAGGCGACGACGGGUAGCCGGCCUGAGAGGGCGACCGGCCACACUGGGACUGAGACACGGUCCAGACUCCUACGGGAGCAG